Long non-coding RNA from Canis lupus familiaris (dog), 1200 nucleotides. RefSeq lists it as uncharacterized. The record is from RefSeq and is a predicted model, not a curated record. NCBI's taxonomy places the organism in Eukaryota, Metazoa, Chordata, Mammalia, Carnivora, Canidae. The transcript is spliced from 4 exons.
AAUUGAGAUUCAGAGAUAUUUAUGUAAGUUGCCCGGGAUCAUACUUCUUCUCACAAGAUUCACUGCCUACCACAACCUGUUCGUCUGUUUUGCUCUUCCAUGGAGCAUAUCCCUUCUUUUGUUCCAGCAUCCAGCCUACUCCACAGUUUUUCAACAAUCCUGCCUCGUCCAGUGGUCACUCGUGGGGAUACCAUUUCUCUUGCCAGGAAUUGGUGUAGGGAUGAGUAUGUGACACAGUUCUGGACUAUGAGUCACAAGAGGAAGUUAGCUGGAAGGCUUCUAGAAAAGAGUUUGUCACUCUGGGAAGUAGUUCCCAUUUUUGCUGCGGGAUGUUACCUGACCUCCGCAUGACGUCAGAAUUGGGGCAAUUGUUUCAUAACAAGGGGAGUUCCCCCAGAGGACACUCUAAAGGUGGGAGGAGCCUAAAGGACAGGAGUGAUGACGUCCCUUGUCUGGAAGCUAACCAACCCUAUAGUGCUCUCCCUCUAUGUGUACCAUUCUGUGAGAGGAACAAAACCUCUCUGAAGCCUCCACCUCCCAGCUUCAUGGACACGGUCCUGGGAUCCAGUCUUCUACCCUCAACACCAGAUCUGCCAGGUUUUCCGUCCCACUCUUAUUUUGUUGCCUUGGGAUAAAGCUGACUUCUAUCAAGCCACGUCAAAGACCCUCGAUGUGAGCUCUGGAAUUCAAGCCCAGUGCAAGCUCUUUAAAGUCAUGGAUCUCAUCUGAUCACACCUCUACACCUUCCUCAGAGGAUGUCAUUCAAGAAGUUUUUUAAGAAAAUAAGGAAGAGCUACUUUUUAAAAGGACAAGACGCAUACGUGACAACAGUCCACCCAGAUUAUUGUGAAAAUGGUCUCUUGAUUUUGAAUCACUGAGAUGCCACGUUCUCAUCCAUUACCUGCAAGGAACCUGGAAGCAAUCUCUCUCACCAUGAGCGUUCAUUUUCAUUUCCACGUGUUGGAAGGGUCAGUCAUCUAGACCAGAACAAAAAAAGAAAACAAAAAAAUUAAACUGAUCAGGAGAUCACUGAAUGAAUCAACCAAUAAAAUUUUAGAAUGCUUUGUGAUUGUAUGAUAAUGAAAGAAUCUACAAUGAUAAAAUGGCUCGCAAUUUGAAUUUACAAUCCCUACUUACUCCAUAAAGCCCCAGCAUUUUAGAGGCGAGAUUAUCUUAUUCACGAGGCUUCUGCCGGACUCA